AGAGUAUAGCUCAGAGGUAGAGCACAUGCUUGGCAUGCACGAGGUCCUAGGUUCAAUCCCCAGUACCUCUA
Molecule: transfer RNA, 71 nt
Filed under: Camelus bactrianus (Bactrian camel)
Lineage: Eukaryota; Metazoa; Chordata; Mammalia; Artiodactyla; Camelidae
Also listed under: 2 other names
Rfam family: tRNA
About the family: Transfer RNA (tRNA) molecules are approximately 80 nucleotides in length. Their secondary structure includes four short double-helical elements and three loops (D, anti-codon, and T loops).
Source: Rfam by way of RNAcentral